GGUUUGUUUGGGUGACUUGCGGAGGACAUUA
Molecule: ribosomal RNA, 31 nt
Filed under: Phytophthora capsici
Lineage: Eukaryota; Oomycota; Peronosporomycetes; Peronosporales; Peronosporaceae
Description: partial 18S ribosomal RNA
Source: RNAcentral